GACGAACGCUGGCGGCGUGCUUAACACAUGCAAGUCGAACGGAAAGGCCCUGCUUUUGUGGGGUGCUCGAGUGGCGAACGGGUGAGUAACACGUGAGUAACCUGCCCUUGACUUUGGGAUAACUUCAGGAAACUGGGGCUAAUACCGGAUAGGAGCUCCUGCUGCAUGGUGGGGGUUGGAAAGUUUCGGCGGUUGGGGAUGGACUCGCAGCUUAUCAGCUUGUUUGUGGGGUAGUGGCUUACCAAGGCUUUGACGGGUAGCCGGCCUGAGAGGGUGACCGGGCACAUGGGGACUAAGAGAGGGAGCAGACUCCAACGGGAGGCAGCAGUGGGGAAUAUGGCACAAUGGGCGGAAGCCUGAUGCAGCAACGCCGCGUGCGGGAUGCCGGCCUUCGGGUUGUAAACCGCUUUCGCCUGUGACGAAGCGUGAGUGACGGUAAUGGGUAAAGAAGCACCGGCUAACUACGUG
Molecule: ribosomal RNA, 468 nt
Filed under: uncultured bacterium
Lineage: Bacteria
Description: partial 16S ribosomal RNA
Rfam family: Bacterial small subunit ribosomal RNA
Source: RNAcentral